UACGUAGGUCCCGAGCGUUGUCCGGAUUUAUUGGGCGUAAAGCGAGCGCAGGUGGUUUAUUAAGUCUGGUGUAAAAGGCAGUGGCUCAACCAUUGUAUGCAUUGGAAACUGAUAGACUUGAGUGCAGGAGAGGAGAGUGGAAUUCCAUGUGUAGCGGUGAAAUGCGUAGAUAUAUGGAGGAGCACCGGUGGCGAAAGCGGCUCUCUGGCCUGUAACUGACACUGAGGCUCGAAAGCGUGGGGAGCAAACAGG
This 252-nucleotide ribosomal RNA is filed under the name uncultured bacterium. RNAcentral describes it as "partial 16S ribosomal RNA". It matches the Rfam family "Bacterial small subunit ribosomal RNA", at positions 524 to 776 of the family's 1533-position model. The record is from RNAcentral.